Molecule: ribosomal RNA, 2904 nt
Filed under: Escherichia coli
Lineage: Bacteria; Pseudomonadati; Pseudomonadota; Gammaproteobacteria; Enterobacterales; Enterobacteriaceae
Description: 23S ribosomal RNA
Rfam family: Bacterial large subunit ribosomal RNA
Source: RNAcentral
GGUUAAGCGACUAAGCGUACACGGUGGAUGCCCUGGCAGUCAGAGGCGAUGAAGGACGUGCUAAUCUGCGAUAAGCGUCGGUAAGGUGAUAUGAACCGUUAUAACCGGCGAUUUCCGAAUGGGGAAACCCAGUGUGUUUCGACACACUAUCAUUAACUGAAUCCAUAGGUUAAUGAGGCGAACCGGGGGAACUGAAACAUCUAAGUACCCCGAGGAAAAGAAAUCAACCGAGAUUCCCCCAGUAGCGGCGAGCGAACGGGGAGCAGCCCAGAGCCUGAAUCAGUGUGUGUGUUAGUGGAAGCGUCUGGAAAGGCGCGCGAUACAGGGUGACAGCCCCGUACACAAAAAUGCACAUGCUGUGAGCUCGAUGAGUAGGGCGGGACACGUGGUAUCCUGUCUGAAUAUGGGGGGACCAUCCUCCAAGGCUAAAUACUCCUGACUGACCGAUAGUGAACCAGUACCGUGAGGGAAAGGCGAAAAGAACCCCGGCGAGGGGAGUGAAAAAGAACCUGAAACCGUGUACGUACAAGCAGUGGGAGCACGCUUAGGCGUGUGACUGCGUACCUUUUGUAUAAUGGGUCAGCGACUUAUAUUCUGUAGCAAGGUUAACCGAAUAGGGGAGCCGAAGGGAAACCGAGUCUUAACUGGGCGUUAAGUUGCAGGGUAUAGACCCGAAACCCGGUGAUCUAGCCAUGGGCAGGUUGAAGGUUGGGUAACACUAACUGGAGGACCGAACCGACUAAUGUUGAAAAAUUAGCGGAUGACUUGUGGCUGGGGGUGAAAGGCCAAUCAAACCGGGAGAUAGCUGGUUCUCCCCGAAAGCUAUUUAGGUAGCGCCUCGUGAAUUCAUCUCCGGGGGUAGAGCACUGUUUCGGCAAGGGGGUCAUCCCGACUUACCAACCCGAUGCAAACUGCGAAUACCGGAGAAUGUUAUCACGGGAGACACACGGCGGGUGCUAACGUCCGUCGUGAAGAGGGAAACAACCCAGACCGCCAGCUAAGGUCCCAAAGUCAUGGUUAAGUGGGAAACGAUGUGGGAAGGCCCAGACAGCCAGGAUGUUGGCUUAGAAGCAGCCAUCAUUUAAAGAAAGCGUAAUAGCUCACUGGUCGAGUCGGCCUGCGCGGAAGAUGUAACGGGGCUAAACCAUGCACCGAAGCUGCGGCAGCGACGCUGAUGCGUUGUUGGGUAGGGGAGCGUUCUGUAAGCCUGCGAAGGUGUGCUGUGAGGCAUGCUGGAGGUAUCAGAAGUGCGAAUGCUGACAUAAGUAACGAUAAAGCGGGUGAAAAGCCCGCUCGCCGGAAGACCAAGGGUUCCUGUCCAACGUUAAUCGGGGCAGGGUGAGUCGACCCCUAAGGCGAGGCCGAAAGGCGUAGUCGAUGGGAAACAGGUUAAUAUUCCUGUACUUGGUGUUACUGCGAAGGGGGGACGGAGAAGGCUAUGUUGGCCGGGCGACGGUUGUCCCGGUUUAAGCGUGUAGGCUGGUUUUCCAGGCAAAUCCGGAAAACUAAGGCUGAGGCGUGAUGACGAGGCACUACGGUGCUGAAGCAACAAAUGCCCUGCUUCCAGGAAAAGCCUCUAAGCAUCAGGUAACAUCAAAUCGUACCCCAAACCGACACAGGUGGUCAGGUAGAGAAUACCAAGGCGCUUGAGAGAACUCGGGUGAAGGAACUAGGCAAAAUGGUGCCGUAACUUCGGGAGAAGGCACGCUGAUAUGUAGGUGAAGUCCCUCGCGGAUGGAGCUGAAAUCAGUCGAAGAUACCAGCUGGCUGCAACUGUUUAUUAAAAACACAGCACUGUGCAAACACGAAAGUGGACGUAUACGGUGUGACGCCUGCCCGGUGCCGGAAGGUUAAUUGAUGGGGUUAGCGCAAGCGAAGCUCUUGAUCGAAGCCCCGGUAAACGGCGGCCGUAACUAUAACGGUCCUAAGGUAGCGAAAUUCCUUGUCGGGUAAGUUCCGACCUGCACGAAUGGCGUAAUGAUGGCCAGGCUGUCUCCACCCGAGACUCAGUGAAAUUGAACUCGCUGUGAAGAUGCAGUGUACCCGCGGCAAGACGGAAAGACCCCGUGAACCUUUACUAUAGCUUGACACUGAACAUUGAGCCUUGAUGUGUAGGAUAGGUGGGAGGCUUUGAAGUGUGGACGCCAGUCUGCAUGGAGCCGACCUUGAAAUACCACCCUUUAAUGUUUGAUGUUCUAACGUUGACCCGUAAUCCGGGUUGCGGACAGUGUCUGGUGGGUAGUUUGACUGGGGCGGUCUCCUCCUAAAGAGUAACGGAGGAGCACGAAGGUUGGCUAAUCCUGGUCGGACAUCAGGAGGUUAGUGCAAUGGCAUAAGCCAGCUUGACUGCGAGCGUGACGGCGCGAGCAGGUGCGAAAGCAGGUCAUAGUGAUCCGGUGGUUCUGAAUGGAAGGGCCAUCGCUCAACGGAUAAAAGGUACUCCGGGGAUAACAGGCUGAUACCGCCCAAGAGUUCAUAUCGACGGCGGUGUUUGGCACCUCGAUGUCGGCUCAUCACAUCCUGGGGCUGAAGUAGGUCCCAAGGGUAUGGCUGUUCGCCAUUUAAAGUGGUACGCGAGCUGGGUUUAGAACGUCGUGAGACAGUUCGGUCCCUAUCUGCCGUGGGCGCUGGAGAACUGAGGGGGGCUGCUCCUAGUACGAGAGGACCGGAGUGGACGCAUCACUGGUGUUCGGGUUGUCAUGCCAAUGGCACUGCCCGGUAGCUAAAUGCGGAAGAGAUAAGUGCUGAAAGCAUCUAAGCACGAAACUUGCCCCGAGAUGAGUUCUCCCUGACUCCUUGAGAGUCCUGAAGGAACGUUGAAGACGACGACGUUGAUAGGCCGGGUGUGUAAGCGCAGCGAUGCGUUGAGCUAACCGGUACUAAUGAACCGUGAGGCUUAACCUU